CUUCAAAAGUGGUUGAAAUUAAGGUAAGAGUAGUUGUUGUAAAAAUAAAUUUAUUUAUUACUUAUGUGCCAUAUAUAUCUCUUUGCGGUAAAUAUCUGAUGUGCCGAGACUUGAAUGUGCCAUCGUGCGCCGACCCCCUAAGAAUUCACCUUUCUCCAUCCUACGGUCACACAUCUGUCACACAAUUUACCUCUUGUUUGAACAACGUCGGGUAACGAUCUCGAGGCAAUCCGGCAUAUUUAGCGCAUCUAUUAUUCGACACACCUGAUGUGUGUCGUAUCUCUUUAUAUUAAUGCAUGAUCGAUCAUAAAGAGUUUGUUUUUUAUAAAUAGUGUUUCAUGUAUAGUUAACAUUUAUUUUGUUUUUUGUUUGUAGGGAAAUAAGAUAAGAAAACGCUUAAAAAAAAAUUGACCUCCAUUACUUGUAACGACGCCAGAUGCAAGUUAAUGAUGCAGACCUGCAUCCUCUUUGCAAAAAAAUAUUGAAAAAUAAUCCGAAUAAUGAUGAAAUCGAAAAGAAGAAAAAAAAUCGACUCAAACAUUGAAACAAUGUAUCAGAAUAAUUCGACUCAAACAUUGAAUUCAGAUGCUCUGGUGAAUCUCAAUGGGUCGUAUGAUCGAACCAUGCACGACUGAUGGUUCCUGGUGACAUUAAAACGGAGGAUAAAAGUAAUGAUGUUGGGAAGAUUAUAUCUAUUGGUUCUAGCUAGCACGACUAGAGAGAAAAAGGAAACCGAGAUAUUCGAAAAAAUGAUAUAUCAUCUAUGGCAUCAUCUAGAUCAAUCUCUGCACAGGUCUAUUUAAACAUUGCAUUUGUUCUAUUUUUUGCUUUUGUACAUUUGAUUUUUUUUGUAUUUACCAGGGAUCAUUUGGGCUUAAUAGAAUAUCUGGUUUUUAAGAGUAACCCAACUUUCAACACUUUUGGGCAUAGUUCUAUACAAAAUCAAGAAUAUGGAAACAACCAUCAAGGAAUAUAUAUCUAGCUUCUGUUGGAAUUGGGUCAAAUAGCAUUCCUCCUAAUGGAAAUAAAUUACUAUUCUUACCCUAACCCUAAACAUUCAUUAUAAAUUCUUGGUACUAUUAUAGCUAGAAAUCCACACUUGAUGUAUAAUCCCCUAGGGUUUCUUAUUCUACCCAUAAACUUCUACCCACAACUUGCAGUAUCACAAGAUCAUAACUAUAAUGAUUUUUAUGUAGGGGUAGUUAAAAUUUUAAUAGAUUAACCAAGUUAAAUAAGCUACCCAUAAAUCGGAUAACCCUAAUCCUAAAUUCGAGAGAUGACGAAGUGUAUAUGUGAACAAAUUGAAUUUUACUUUCUGAUAUGUCAUUUUUUAUUUAUGAUACAUUAUUUUUUUAAGCAUGUUCUUUGGUUUUCACAUAUUUUAUCUAUGUGUUUUUAUAGAGAUUUCAACUACCGAGAUGAUAAAUUUUUACACGGUCAUAUGGAUAAAGAAGGAUGGGUGCCGAUAACCGGAACUACGUUCAAAAUAUUUAUCUAACAAGUUAUAUUUUCUCAAUAUUUCUAAACAACAACUUAUAUAUGCUCCAAAUUUGAUUUACAGUUAAAAAUAAAAAAUGUCAUCGAUUUUUUAUUAUGUAUUUGUUGUAAAAGUAUUAUGUAUUUGUUGUAAAAGUAUGUAUCUUAAAUUUACAAGUAAAAGUAUUUGUUGUAAAAUUAAAUUUGUGAUAUGUUGUAAAAGUAUACAUUAUGUGAUUUGUUGUAAAAGUAACUCUUUAUAUUGAUAAUGAAAAUAUUUAUGAACUAAACAUAUAUAUAACCCUAACCCUAAAUCCUACUAAGUGUGGGUUAGAGUGUAUUAGUAUUUUUUUCUGACCUA
This 1837-nucleotide long non-coding RNA is filed under the name Zostera marina. Its description in RNAcentral is "long non-coding RNA (ZMAR_LNC002056)". Lineage: Eukaryota; Viridiplantae; Streptophyta; Magnoliopsida; Alismatales; Zosteraceae. The record is from RNAcentral.